GGCGGCGUGCCUAAUACAUGCAAGUCGAGCGGACAGAUGGGAGCUUGCUCCCUGAUGUUAGCGGCGGACGGGUGAGUAACACGUGGGUAACCUGCCUGUAAGACUGGGAUAACUCCGGGAAACCGGGGCUAAUACCGGAUGGUUGUCUGAACCGCAUGGUUCAGACAUAAAAGGUGGCUUCGGCUACCACUUACAGAUGGACCCGCGGCGCAUUAGCUAGUUGGUGAGGUAACGGCUCACCAAGGCGACGAUGCGUAGCCGACCUGAGAGGGUGAUCGGCCACACUGGGACUGAGACACGGCCCAGACUCCUACGGGAGGCAGCAGUAGGGAAUCUUCCGCAAUGGACGAAAGUCUGACGGAGCAACGCCGCGUGAGUGAUGAAGGUUUUCGGAUCGUAAAGCUCUGUUGUUAGGGAAGAACAAGUGCCGUUCAAAUAGGGCGGCACCUUGACGGUACCUAACCAGAAAGCCACGGCUAACUACGUGCCAGCA
Molecule: ribosomal RNA, 493 nt
Filed under: Bacillus sp. BAB763
Lineage: Bacteria; Bacillati; Bacillota; Bacilli; Caryophanales; Bacillaceae
Description: bacterial SSU rRNA
Rfam family: Bacterial small subunit ribosomal RNA
Source: RNAcentral